Molecule: ribosomal RNA, 586 nt
Filed under: uncultured bacterium
Lineage: Bacteria
Description: partial 16S ribosomal RNA
Rfam family: Bacterial small subunit ribosomal RNA
Source: RNAcentral
UGGGGAAUUUUGGACAAUGGGCGAAAGCCUGAUCCAGCAAUGCCGCGUGUGUGAAGAAGGCCAUUCGGGUUGUAAAGCACUUUUGUCCGGAAAGAAAUCCUUGGCUCUAAUACAGUCGGGGGAUGACGGUACCGGAAGAAUAAGCACCGGCUAACUACGUGCCAGCAGCCGCGGUAAUACGUAGGGUGCAAGCGUUAAUCGGAAUUACUGGGCGUAAAGCGUGCGCAGGCGGUUUGCUAAGACCGAUGUGAAAUCCCCGGGCUCAACCUGGGAACUGCAUUGGUGACUGGCAGGCUAGAGUAUGGCAGAGGGGGGUAGAAUUCCACGUGUAGCAGUGAAAUGCGUAGAGAUGUGGAGGAAUACCGAUGGCGAAGGCAGCCCCCUGGGCCAAUACUGACGCUCAUGCACGAAAGCGUGGGGAGCAAACAGGAUUAGAUACCCUGGUAGUCCACGCCCUAAACGAUGUCAACUAGUUGUUGGGGAUUCAUUUCCUUAGUAACGUAGCUAACGCGUGAAGUUGACCGCCUGGGGAGUACGGUCGCAAGAUUAAAACUCAAAUGAAUUGACGGGGUCAUAGCUGUUUCCU